CCCUAGCCCUGAUUGACACGGCAUCCUUUUGGGUUGGCGUGAGGCGGCGGAGCGGAGCGGAGCCGUCCGAGCACCAACACAAAAGAUAUAGUGGAAAGCAGGUUCUCGG
Molecule: small RNA, 109 nt
Filed under: Soonwooa buanensis
Lineage: Bacteria; Pseudomonadati; Bacteroidota; Flavobacteriia; Flavobacteriales; Weeksellaceae
Description: Flavo-1 RNA
Rfam family: Flavo-1 RNA
Source: Rfam by way of RNAcentral